Molecule: unclassified non-coding RNA, 86 nt
Filed under: Pseudomonas palleroniana
Lineage: Bacteria; Pseudomonadati; Pseudomonadota; Gammaproteobacteria; Pseudomonadales; Pseudomonadaceae
Source: RNAcentral
GUGAGAGGGGGCUUGCUCCCGAUGGCGCUGGGUCAGUCAAAAAAUCUGAACUGACACACCACUAUCGGGAACAAGCCCCCUCCCAC